Pseudophryne corroboree (corroboree frog) is the source of this 3031-nucleotide long non-coding RNA. RefSeq lists it as uncharacterized. NCBI's taxonomy places the organism in Eukaryota, Metazoa, Chordata, Amphibia, Anura, Myobatrachidae. The record is from RefSeq and is a predicted model, not a curated record. The transcript has 3 exons.
AUUUGAAAGGAUUAUCUGCUUGGUUUGUCUUUUUUUGCUUCACAAGUAUUAUUUAAUUGAUUUUUUAAAGGAAUAUUUUUUUCUUCAAUCUCCUGAGGGAAAUUUACCCAUGAUUCCACAGUUUUUCCCAGGAUACACUUCUGCAAAGCCCCUCCUAUCUCCUCACUCCCAGGUUUGAGACUACAGGGAGAAGGAGCCAUUUUACAGUCAGCUCUGUGGAAUCGUUUUUUUAGGAAAAUUCCUGCGUUUUAAAACACAUUCCUAUUUUUGUACUGACUACAAUAAUGGAGCCUUUUUCUGACCAGAUUGUGAUGUUCAUGCUGGCUGCAAGCAUGAUGGAGGAAGAAAGUGCUGAUGAACAUCAGGAUCCAGGUCAGCAAAUGUCUGCAUUGGGUGAGCCAGUAUUGCGGGUUUCAUUUCCACGUCCACGCCAGUAUCGCACUAGGCGUGAACUGGAGGAUCUCAGCGAGUUCGAGGUGAUACAAAAUUAUCGCUUAUCGACUCGCGACAUAUAUUCGCUGUACGCUCUGUUGGAGGCCGACUUGGAACCUCGGGCACGGACAAAUCGUGCAAUCAGCGGUUUUCAGAAACUGCUGGGGACGUUAUAUUUUUUGGCGUCAGGCACAUUCCAGCCUACACUGUCUCAAACAUGCGGUUUUUCACAGUCGACACUGUCGCGCUGUAUAACUUAGGUCAUUAGGGCUUUCCGCAAAUUGACGAUCCAGUACAUCACAUUUCCAGAGACGGACAGCGAAUGUCGUGAGAUCAAAUUAGGCUUUUUCAACAAAUACAAAUUUCCCAAUGUGCUGGGCGCGAUUGACUGUACCCACGUGCAGAUCAGACCGCCACGGAAUUCAGAGGAAUGUUUUCGGAACCGAAAACAGUUCCAUUCCCUGAACGUUCAGGCGGUUUGUGAUGUAAACAUGAGAUUUUUGAACAUUUUUGUGGGAUUUCCUGGAUCAUCUCACGACUCCUUCAUCCUAAGCCAGUCAUCGCUGUUUGACAAGUUCGAAACAGGAAACAUGCCUGGUGGCUGGCUGUUAGGUAUGUAUUUUCAUUUUUUUAUUUUUUUAUUAUUUUUUUAUUAUUUUUUUUAAUUAUUUUUUACAAGUACCUAACAUUUUUUUUAUAUUUUCUAUAGGCGAUGCGGGUUAUCCAAACAAACCGUGGCUGUUGACCCCAUUGUCUAAUCCUGUUGGUAGAGCAGAAAAACGUUACCAAGAGACACACAUUGCAUCGAGGCAAAUAAUUGAACGUGCCUUCGGUGUACUUAAAAGCCGGUUUCGAUGUUUAGACACUUCCGGCGGUGCUCUUUUGUACUCACCGUCGAAGGUUUGCGGCAUGGUAAAUGCAUGUUGUAUUUUACACAACAUAUGUGUCGCAAACCGUUUGCCGGUGACUCUUCGUCGCAGUGCUUUCCGACGCGGGAACCGGUCUUCUGCUCUACCGGUGGGUAUGGACGAAGGAGAGGAUUCCCGGCGGACAUUGAUCCAAAAUUAUUUUGCAGUUGCCUAGUUUUACAUCCUGUUGAUGUAUAUCCCCAGGCCAUGUUUGUACAGUUCGUUACCCCGUUUUAUCCUGUUGUUGGGUUACCGCAAAUAUUUGAUCCUUUUAUCCAACUCUACCAUGGGUGACCCUACUGGUGAUGUGGACCUGACCCUCCGCCAUGUAGCAGACAACCCCCCCUCAGGUCCUGCGAUGUAUCUUCCCAAGUGGCGUGGAUGUGAGGAGACACGACAUUUCACCUGAUGUUCCAUGGGUGACCCUACUGGUGAUGUGGACCUGACCCUCCGCCAUGUAGCAGACAACCCCCCUCAGGUGAGAUGUAUUGCCCAAGACUCCCUUGUCCAAAAUCACCCCGGCAUGUCCAAAGUGCAGCCCUCCAGCAUUUGCAAGACUGCACAUCCAAACAUUCCCUGAAACAGCAAUGCUAGGGAAUGUUUGGAUGUGUAGUGAUGCAAGUGCAGGAGGGUUGCAUUUGGGCCGCUGCAACCCGCUUGUGUUGUGUGGACUGUUGUAUGUACCUCUUUUUCCAGUCCCAGGGUGACACUAUCACCCAUAUCUGGAAGCUCAAACUGUUCUCUUCCACAGGUCCUGCGAUGUAUCUUCCCAAGUGGCGUGGAUGUGAGGAGACACGACAUUUCACCUGAUGUUCCAUGGGUGACCCUACUGGUGAUGUGGACCUGACCCUCCGCCAUGUAGCAGACAACCCCCCUCAGGUGAGAUGUAUUGCCCAAGACUCCCUUGUCCAAAAUCACCCCGGCAUGUCCAAAGUGCAGCCCUCCAGCAUUUGCAAGACUGCACAUCCAAACAUUCCCUGAAACAGCAAUGCUAGGGAAUGUUUGGAUGUGUAGUGAUGCAAGUGCAGGAGGGUUGCAUUUGGGCCGCUGCAACCCGCUUGUGUUGUGUGGACUGUUGUAUGUACCUCUUUUUCCAGUCCCAGGGUGACACUAUCACCCAUAUCUGGAAGCUCAAACUGUUCUCUUCCACAGGUCCUGCGAUGUAUCUUCCCAAGUGGCGUGGAUGUGAGGAGACACGACAUUUCACCUGAUGUUCCAUGGGUGACCCUACUGGUGAUGUGGACCUGACCCUCCGCCAUGUAGCAGACAACCCCCCUCAGGUGAGAUGUAUUGCCCAAGACUCCCUUGUCCAAAAUCACCCCGGCAUGUCCAAAGUGCAGCCCUCCGGCAUUUGCAAGAUUGCACUUCCAAACAUUCCCUCCUGAUACACCUAAUGCUUGUCAGGGAAUGUUUGGAUGUGUAGUGACGCGAGUGGCGGAGGUUUGCAUUUGGACCCACUGUUCCCCGCUUGUGUUGUGUGGACUGUAUGUACCUCUUCUUUCCAGUCCCAGGGUGACACUAUUACCCAUAUCUGGAAGCUCAUACUGUUCUCUUCCACAGGUCUUCCGGUGUAUCCUUCCUAAGUGGUGUGGAUGUGAAGAGACAGUUCCCUUGAUGUUCCCUGGGCAAUCUACUUACGUACAAUUCAAAUGCAUUACAAAUUUUAAUAAAAACCACAGGAAACUUCUAUU